AUUUAAUUCUUCCAAUUUUGAAAACUUGAAUGGACUUGGAUAUCCAUUUUACAAAUACAAGAUUGUAUGUUCUCUUGCAGAGAAGUACUGAAUGUUAUUUCUCUGCUUCUGAUCAGAUCAUACACAUGUUGUAGGAAAGUGAAUCGGAGACAAGUUGAUGAAAAAGACUUUCAUUUGAAUGAGAGAUCAAUCACAGAGACUGAAAGUGACAGCCCUACCACAUUUGUUUGUGGACUUUGGAGACAGGCAGAAAGGAUAAGCAAUUGACAAGGAGGUAAGGAAAUCCGUAUCUGGGUUUGAUUCGGUUGUCUUGCAAGUGGAGUUGUAAACAAAUGUGGAAUUUAAAGGGGGAUUACAGUGUUUUGAUGUAUUCCAUUCUGCAUGUUCAAUAUCACUAUUUUCAUUCCAAGAGGGUAUAAUGUAU
RNAcentral lists this long non-coding RNA (424 nucleotides) under Numida meleagris (helmeted guineafowl). RNAcentral's name for it is "lncRNA (ENSNMEG00000020668.1)". Lineage: Eukaryota; Metazoa; Chordata; Aves; Galliformes; Numididae. The record is from RNAcentral.